UCCGGUGGCCAUGGCGGCAGGGUCACACCCGUUCCCAUUCCGAACACGGAAGUUAAGACUGCCAGCGCCGAUGGUACUUGGGGGGCAACCCCCUGGGAGAGUAGGACGCCGCCGGAU
This 117-nucleotide ribosomal RNA is filed under the name Nitrospiraceae bacterium. The record is from RNAcentral. Lineage: Bacteria; Pseudomonadati; Nitrospirota; Nitrospiria; Nitrospirales; Nitrospiraceae.